UCACCGUUUAUUUAUUUACAGAAUCAUAGCCGCGCGAAGGGUUCUGGAGGAGCUGCAGCGCCCUGGUUAAUUUCAUUGUUUACUGCGUGUGCAGAGUGUGGCGCUUCCCAUUGCUGCGCGCACCAAGGCCUACUAAUAUUAUGCUUUUCACAGUAGCCUAGACAGUCCAAGCGCAUAUACAAGUCACGAGAAGGCGAGUCCGAUUCAUCAAUGGUCGAGAAAGCGAAUCCAAGUCUGAGUCACCAAUGCUUCCGUCCAAGUCCACUCACAAGUCAUGAAAAUCGGGACUGGAGUGGGCUCGACAAUACUGGCUAUUUCUCUCUGUUUUUCCUGGAUCUCACCGACGACAUCAGCCUGGCUCCUCUCAAUGGAGCGCAACAGCGCAGUGAAGACCUGCUCACUUUCCUCUGUCUUUCUGUGAACUAGCCUGUGGAAUGAAGUGAACUAGAUUCAGACAAAUGAAUGUGCUCUAAAAUAUUACCUAUAGUGAAUCUGUGUCACAGGUGUUACUUUUUUAAAUUAUAUUUGAUAUACAAACUAUAACAAGUAGUCACCCAAGCAACAGGAUUGUAUUGACAUGUUGAUACAUAAUAAUGCAGAAAUUGCCUUGAAAAGGAGUUUAGUGUUUUAGGCCUUCCUUAAUUAUUCAACUUUUUGCAGUAGACAACGACACCAAAAGGUCUGGCUGUUUAUCUGCACAAAUUCUUUAUUUGUAACAGUGUCAUUUAUGUAUUUUUAAAAUGGAGGAGAUGGACACUUUCACUUAGUCAUCAUACACUUUUCCCUCAGGGCAAUACAAAUAUAUCUUGAAGGCACAGUGUGUGCUCAAGUGUGGGCCAUACUGAAAUUAAGUUUAUUCGUGAUUGAUAGUGUAAAUUAAAGAAACCUUCUGAGAUUUCAUCUAUUUUAUACGUGUUUUGUUUGCAAUUUGUAAUAUUAUAUACAAAAUUUCUCAUUUGUGAGCUUUAUUUCAAUUCCAUAAAAAGUAUUUUGCUCAAAUUACAGUGGGGGUCUAAAAAUUAAAAUGCUUAUUAUCAAGUAGCCUACGCAUAAAAAUGUGUAAUGAUCAAUCAUAAACAAAUCAAUUCAAAGUUUAUUUGUCACGUGCGCCGAAUACAACAGGUGUAGACCUUACAGUGAAAUGCUUACUUACAGGCUCUAACCAAUAGUGCAAAAAAAGGUAUUAGGUGAACAAUAGGUAGGUAAAGAAAUAAAACAACAGUAAAAUGACAGGCUAUAUACAGUAGCGAGGCUAUAAAAGUAGCGAGGCUACAUACAGACACCGGUUAGUCAGGCUGAUUGAGGUAGUAUGUACAUGUAGAUAUGGUUAAAGUGACUAUGCAUAUAUGAUGAACAGAGAGUAGCAGUGGCGUAAAAGAGGGGUUGGGAGUGAUGGGAGUGAUGUGUUUGUAGCAUUAAAAUAACAAUUGUCUCAUUUGUUAGUUUUCCUUGAAGACUUUUAGAAGGUUUAUAUUAUAAAAAAAAUUAAAAA
RNAcentral lists this long non-coding RNA (1492 nucleotides) under Salmo salar (Atlantic salmon). Its description in RNAcentral is "lncRNA (ENSSSAG00000105426.1)". The record is from RNAcentral. Lineage: Eukaryota; Metazoa; Chordata; Actinopteri; Salmoniformes; Salmonidae.